CCUACGGGAGGCAGCAGUGGGGAAUAUUGGGCAAUGGGCGCAAGCCUGACCCAGCAACGCCGCGUGAAGGAAGAAGGCUUUCGGGUUGUAAACUUCUUUUAAGAGGGAAGAGCAGAAGACGGUACCUCUUGAAUAAGCCACGGCUAACUCCGAGCCAGCAGCCGCGGUAAUACGUAGGUGGCAAGCGUUGUCCGGCUUUACUGGGUGUAAAGGGCGUGCAGCCGGGAAGACAAGUCGGAUGUGAACGCCCGCGGCUCAACCGCGGAACUGCCUUUGAAACUGUUUUUCUUGAGUACCGGAGAGGUCAGCGGAAUUCCUUGUGGAGCGGUGAAAUGCGUAGAUAUAAGGAAGAAUACCGGUGGCGAAGGCGGAUGCCUGGACGGCGACUGACGGUGAGGCGCGAAAGCGUGGGGAGCAAACAGGAUUAGAUACCCGUGUAGUC
This 442-nucleotide ribosomal RNA is filed under the name uncultured bacterium. RNAcentral describes it as "partial 16S ribosomal RNA". It matches the Rfam family "Bacterial small subunit ribosomal RNA", at positions 338 to 795 of the family's 1533-position model. The record is from RNAcentral.